UCGCCUAUUGGCGCUUUGAGACUUCUCUUUUUCUACCGCAUAGGUCGGUGUACCGAUUCCAUAUUCAACCUAUGCAUAAUAAUGCUAGAAUCUAUACCUGGCACAUCUGAGGCUAACCAAGCAAAGAUGCCUACGUUGGCACAAAGAAAGAUGAUGAGCUGAGCUCAGGUUGCUGCAUCUAGUUAGGAGCUGACAUAAACAAUUCAACCUAUCCCUUCGUCGCCAACAAGGAAGGGGAUGAGCUCCUUAACUAGCUCUCCUUGUUGCUCCUUUAGCUUGUUCCGUGUAUCCAAGCCUUUAACGAGGAGCAUCUCGAUCAGCUUCUUUCCUCAGAGUGCGGCCACAUAACACUAUCGAGCUAUUGCAUGAUCACCCCGAACUUCUCCAACUCCAUGCUCGGUAGAAAACUACACUACAAGAUGAUAGGUCGAUACCACAGCUCGCAUUGUAUUCAACCCGAGCCGACCCAAGAUGGCAUUGUAUGCCAGGAGAAACUUUACCACCAAGAAAUUCAACAUUACGGUCGUCUACCAAGGCUCCUGGCCAAUAGUAACCAUGAAGGUAAUGGUGCCUUCCACGGGAACAGAAUCUUCCGAGAAUCAAAUCAGAGAAGAAUCAGUUCUUAGCGGAUCUGACGAUAAGCUCAUUCUACGGAAAGCAUCAUAAAAUGUCUGUCGAGC
RNAcentral lists this long non-coding RNA (680 nucleotides) under Phoenix dactylifera (date palm). Its description in RNAcentral is "long non-coding RNA (PDAC_LNC006265)". The record is from RNAcentral. Lineage: Eukaryota; Viridiplantae; Streptophyta; Magnoliopsida; Arecales; Arecaceae.